ACGGGGUGUUAGGGCACGACACCGGAGAGGGAGCCUGAGAAACGGCUACCACAUCCAAGGAUGGCAGCAGGCGCGCAAACUACCCAAUCCCGACACGGGGAGGUAGUGACAAUAAAUAACAAUACGGGGUUCUUUAGGAUCUCGUAAUUGGAAUGAGUACAAUUUAAAUCUCUUAACGAGGAACAAUUGGAGGGCAAGUCUGGUGCCAGCAGCCGCGGUAAUUCCAGCUCCAAUAGCGUAUAUUAAAGUUGUUGCAGUUAAAAAGCUCGUAGUUGAAUUUCGGGGUUAGUAGGUUGGUCAUGCCUCUGGUAUGUACUGGUCUCACUGAUUCCUCCUUCCUGAUGAGCCGUAAUGCCAUUAAUUUGGUGUUGCGGGGAAUUUGGACUGUUACUUUGAAAAAAUUAGAGUGUUUAAAGCAAGCUAACGCUUGAAUACAUUAGCAUGGAAUAAUGAAAUAGGACGUUCGAUCCUAUUUUGUUGGUUUCUAGGAUUGACGUAAUGAUUAAUAGGGAUAGUUGGGGGCAUUAGUAUUCAAUUGUCAGAGGUGAAAUUCUUGGAUUUAUUGAAGACUAACUACUGCGAAAGCAUUUGCCAAGGAUGUUUUCAUUAAUCAAGAACGAAAGUUAGGGGAUCGAAGACGAUCAGAUACCGUCGUAGUCUUAACCAUAAACUAUGCCGACUAGGGAUCGGAUGAUGUUAAUUUUUUAAUGACUCAUUCSGCGCCUUACGGGAACA
Molecule: ribosomal RNA, 735 nt
Filed under: uncultured Rhizophagus
Lineage: Eukaryota; Fungi; Glomeromycota; Glomeromycetes; Glomerales; Glomeraceae
Description: SSU rRNA
Rfam family: Eukaryotic small subunit ribosomal RNA
Source: RNAcentral